ACAGAUUUCAUACAUGAUUGCAUAAGGAAGAUAUCAAAACAUAAUACACAACUAUACUAUUACUCGCAUUCGUCUCAAUUUACAUCCAUUUUACAUUUUUGACUUCCAAAUGCAAUCCACAUUUUACACUUUAUUACAUUCUUUUCUUUUGUCCCUAAGUUAAGCCAACUCAGGGUACUGCUAUCUCUGGUCUACGUGGUAGGGCGUUAUCUACGGAGCUACGCCCUUUCCUCGCGCCACAGCGCCGCUCGCGUGUGAACCUGAAAUCCCUCAAAACAACGUGGGGUGAGAACUAUACUCAUAGUUCCCAGUGGGUAUGGCCACCCAAGGGAAGAGCUCGACCCACCAGAUCCAAAGGAGGCACUACAACAUGUUAGUCCACAGAUAUCCACAGAUAAUAAAUGCAAGUAUUAAAUACAUGCGCAUGCCUCACAAUAUGCAAUAUGCGAACCAUGCAACUCAUGCAAGUAGAUCACUUGAUUCUACUCUCUAUCACUUGCCAUUCUUUAUUCUUAGCCGUUCUUUACUCUUUGCCAUUCUUUACUAUUUACUAUUCUUUAUUAUCAGCCGUUCUUUAUUCUUUAUUAUUAGCCACACUAUACUCAUUUACCAUUCUUUCCUAAGGUUACUUUUACCUUAGCCAACUAUGUCAUUCGACUCGGUCUUGAGUCAAUCAUCCGCGGAUAAUCCGGACUCUGUCAGACUCGAGGUGAAGGAACUCUCACAUACACCUCGGCCUUCAAUUCACAAACCACAUCGCCCAACGGGUCGCGAAGAACU
Molecule: long non-coding RNA, 780 nt
Filed under: Ananas comosus (pineapple)
Lineage: Eukaryota; Viridiplantae; Streptophyta; Magnoliopsida; Poales; Bromeliaceae
Description: long non-coding RNA (ACOM_LNC025724)
Source: RNAcentral